Molecule: long non-coding RNA, 1110 nt
Organism: Orcinus orca (killer whale)
Lineage: Eukaryota; Metazoa; Chordata; Mammalia; Artiodactyla; Delphinidae
Exons: 2
Source: RefSeq, a predicted model, not a curated record
CAAGCCAUGCGGCCAAAAAUCAACAACAACAACAUAUGUAUACACACACGCAAGGAUUUUGUUUGUUUUUAUUUACACACGCUUUUUUUUUACCCAAAUUAAUUGACGUGCAGACUGGGGUCUCUGGGAUUGAGAGCUAGUGCCUUUUUUUUCCUCUUCUCAUUACAUUUGCAUUACUCCCCUCUCCCUCCCAGGUUCUCUUUUUCAUUCUCUCUCUCUCUCUCUCUCUCUCUCUCUCUCUCUCUCUCUCUCUCUCUCUCUCUCUCUCUCUCUCUCUCGCACACACACACACACACACACACACGCGCGCGCGCGCGCGCGCGCGGAGGGGAAGUAAGCAUUGAGAGUCGUCUACAGAAAUGGCAUCAUUUCUUACACUUCUGCAUUUUUUUUCCCACUCAAUGUCUUGUAUUGAGCCUUCUAAGUCAACUGCUAUAGAUCUAAUUAACUCAUUCAUCACUUCAUAUUCCAUGUCCUUUUUAAAAAAAUAGGUUAUUUCUCUUUUCUAAUUUGUAAGAGUUCUGUAUUUAGACAUUAACUGCCAUCACAUUGCAAAUAUUUUUCUUUAGAUCUAUUUUUUGUCCAUUGACUUUAUUAAUGGUAUCUUUGGCUAUACAAAGAUAAAACAUUUAUGAGGUUAAGAUGUUAUCUUUCCUUUCAAAGCAUCUGGACUUCUUAUCUUGAUUGAUUCAUUCAUCUUUUAUGUAAAUGUUUUCUUUUUUUUAAUUUUUAAAAUUUUUAUUUUUGGCUGUGUUGGGUCUUCAUUGCUGCGCGCGGGAUUUCUCUGGUUGCGUGUAAGCAGGGGCUACUCUUCAUUGCCGUGCGCAGGCUUCUCAUUGCAGAAGCUUCUCUUGUUGCAGAGCACAGACUCUAGGCGUGCGGGCUUCAGUAGUUGUGGCACGCGGGCUCAGUAGUUGUGGCACAGGACUCAGUAGUUGUGGCACGCGAGCUCUAGAGCACAGGCUCAGUAGUUGUGGUGCACAGGCUUAGUUGCUCCGUGGCAUGUGGGAUCUUCCCGGACCAGGGAUCGAACCCGUGUCCCCUGCAUUGGCAGGCGGAUUCUUAACCACUGGGCCACCAGGGAAGUUCCGCGCCCCCCCCCCCCGCCCC